GAUGAACGCUGGCGGCGUGCCUAAUACAUGCAAGUCGAGCGAACGGACGAUAAGCUUGCUUCUUUGAUGUUAGCGGAGGGCGGGUGUGUCACAUGUGGAUACCCCACCUAUCAGACUGGGAUCACUUCGGGACACCGGCGCUAAUAGCGGAUAAUAUUUUGUACCGCAUGGUUCAAAAGUGAAAGACGGUCUUGCUGUCACUACUAGCUGGAUCCGCGCUGGAUUAGCUAGUUGGUAAGGUAAAGGGUUAUCAAGGGAACGAUGCAUAGCCGACCGGAUAGAGGGAUCGGCCACACGGGAACGGAGACACGGACCUGACGCCUGAGGUAGGCAGCAGUAUGGAAUCGUCCGCAGUAGGCGGAAGCCUUACGGAGCAGCGCCACGUGAGUGAUGACAGUCUUCGGAUCGUAAAACUCUGUUAUUAGUUAAAAACAGAUGUGUAAGGAACUGUGCACAUCUUGACGGUACCGAAUCAAAAAGCCACGGCUAACUACGUG
This 497-nucleotide ribosomal RNA is filed under the name uncultured bacterium. RNAcentral's name for it is "partial 16S ribosomal RNA". It matches the Rfam family "Bacterial small subunit ribosomal RNA", at positions 28 to 507 of the family's 1533-position model. The record is from RNAcentral.